RNAcentral lists this small nuclear RNA (27 nucleotides) under Arabidopsis thaliana (thale cress). RNAcentral's name for it is "snRNA_14336". Lineage: Eukaryota; Viridiplantae; Streptophyta; Magnoliopsida; Brassicales; Brassicaceae. The record is from RNAcentral.
GUGGUGGCACCAAGGAUGAUCUCAAGC